CGUCCCGUCCUCCUGGCCCUUACGUGUUGGGCUACACACGUGCUACAAUGGUAUCUACAACAGGAAGCAAGACUGCGAAGUUAAGCAAAUCCCUAAAAGAUACCUCAGUUCGGAUUGCACUCUGCAACUCGAGUGCAUGAAGCUGGAAUUACUAGUAAUCGUGGAUCAGCGUGCCACGGUGAAUGCGUUCCCGGGUCUU
Molecule: ribosomal RNA, 199 nt
Filed under: uncultured marine bacterium pM-62
Lineage: Bacteria; Pseudomonadati; Pseudomonadota; Alphaproteobacteria; Candidatus Pelagibacterales
Description: partial 16S ribosomal RNA
Rfam family: Bacterial small subunit ribosomal RNA
Source: RNAcentral